RNAcentral lists this long non-coding RNA (630 nucleotides) under Gallus gallus (chicken). Its description in RNAcentral is "lncRNA (ENSGALG00010004264.1)". Lineage: Eukaryota; Metazoa; Chordata; Aves; Galliformes; Phasianidae. The record is from RNAcentral.
GUUGACAUGGGGCAAGUGCUCUGGUAGGUACAGAGCUGCCAUUAAAUGACCCCAGCAUGGCAAUUGGUGAUGCUGGCUUUGCACACUGUGCAUGUCCUUGUUACUGAGACAGGCUGUGUAAGUGAGGGGUGGGAUACCGUUUAUAUAGUUUGAACACCAAAGGGAGGAAAAGAGAGCAGAAGUGAUCCAAAUAAGCAACAUCCAGCACAUGUUUGAAAGGCAAUGGUUUCACAUCUUACCUUGAGCCAUGAGCCCUGAGAAGCUCUCAGCAGCUCCUUUUUGCCUACAUGAGUAGAGAAUAUCUGAACCAUCAGUUUAAAAAUCAACCACAGCAGCAGAGUGCUGUCCACUUCCCAUGCUGGGAAUGUCCUGUGGGACUUAACUGAACUUCAUGUUUGUUUGAACAGCAUUUAGAAAAGAUAAAGAAGGAACUACAAAAUCUAGAGAUAUUAACACCAGGUGAUUCACCUUUGCUGACUUCAGCCACCUAAAAUUUUGCAGUCUGACUUCCUAGGAUGUAUCUGCCCACCUAGAUAAAAGAGAGCCAGGACUGCAUUUGAGCUCUGAAGCCAUGGCUGCCUGCUGACCUGGAGCACUGUCUCUGAUCUGGACCAUUCCAGAAUUGUUUUA